AUGCGGCCAGAGGGCUGCCCGGGAGCGGGCACUCAGCACAGUGAAAUCCUUGUCUGUCCUCCACGUGCUUCUUUGCUGUCCCUUGUCUCUGCCACACCAGACUGUCCAGGGAACAGUGUCCGGGGCAGGAAAGAUGAGCCCAGGGUCUUGGGUGGGCAUCGACCCUCAUUGGUCUACAGCUUCUGGGAAAUGUGGCAGAUUGCUUCUGGGCCUCAUGGCUGUUGCUGGGGUGCAGGAAAUAAGGUAGAUUUCUCUCUUGUUCACUCAAGAAAUUGCUUGAAUGUAAAUUUUUUCAUCUAUGUUAACAUAUACCUACCUACCUCACCACUCUUUCUCAGAUGCCGUGGAGCAUAUGCCAACCUGCAGUGGGAUGCAUGUCUCCCUCCAAGAAGAGGAAGCACCGCCUCUCAGGGCACCCCGCUUUUGACUCAGGUUUUACGAUUUUACUUCCAAACACUGAGGCAGCGAUUCUCCCAAUCUCUUCGCAACUUCUCCUGGACUUUAUUUCCAAGCAUUUGGGCACAUACUUCUCUCUCAAUUCUCACUUAUCCAGAAGAGAUGAUAUUUUCAGCACCAUUUCAACAGAUGGUAUAAAAAAUCAUUCAGUGAAGCUGAAUAUCUUUCCCAAAGUCACAGAACUCGUUAGCAGCAGAAUGAAUGAAAAAUGCAGGUCCAAGAGCUUACCUGGUAUCCAGUGGUAGGACUCUGUGUGUUCAGUGCAGGGGACUUGGGUUCAAUCUCUGGUUGGGUAACAGAUCCCACAUGUUGUGGGGCCUGGCCAAAAUAAAUGCACAAAAGAAAGAAAAGAAGAGAAAAUGAGCUUCAAAAUUCUCUUUAAAAAAUGUAGGUCCUAAGCCCAAGGUUCCACCUACAAGGCAAGAUCAUUAUUUCCAGGUUCAUGUAUUCAUUCAUUUGUCCUUGCCAUUAUUGUGAUCACGUUGGGCAUGGACUGAUGAUCCAGAAAGUGUUCUUAUAAAGCACAUAAAUACUGCAUGAUCUCCACAACAUAGAUAAGGGAGCAAGACAUAUUUAGCAGAAAGAAAAAUACUAUGUAGACAAAGGAACUAGAGGACAGAACCAGACCACAGUAGGACUAUCACUGCAAGAUAGUAGAGCUCAGGUACAAAAUCAAAGGGACUGAUAGCCUGAGAGAGCAGAGACUUCUGUGGGCUAGAGUGGUUCAAGAAGUUUUUCUAAAAAUCAGUUUCUUUUUCCUUCACUGUUAAAAUAGUUUUUAAAAUUGAGAUAUAAUUGACAUAUAGCAUUAUAUUCAUAUAUGCAUGCAUUGUGAAACCAUAAGUUUAUUUAACAUCCAUCUC
RNAcentral lists this long non-coding RNA (1319 nucleotides) under Capra hircus (goat). RNAcentral describes it as "lncRNA (ENSCHIG00010000792.1)". Lineage: Eukaryota; Metazoa; Chordata; Mammalia; Artiodactyla; Bovidae. The record is from RNAcentral.